This 1438-nucleotide ribosomal RNA is filed under the name uncultured organism. RNAcentral's name for it is "16S ribosomal RNA". It matches the Rfam family "Bacterial small subunit ribosomal RNA". The record is from RNAcentral.
CAGGCUUAACACAUGCAAGUCGAGGGGCAGCAUGGUCUUAGCUUGCUAAGGCCGAUGGCGACCGGCGCACGGGUGAGUAACACGUAUCCAACCUGCCGUCUACUCUUGGACAGCCUUCUGAAAGGAAGAUUAAUACAAGAUGGCAUCAUGAGUCCGCAUGUUCACAUGAUUAAAGGUAUUCCGGUAGACGAUGGGGAUGCGUUCCAUUAGAUAGUAGGCGGGGUAACGGCCCACCUAGUCUUCGAUGGAUAGGGGUUCUGAGAGGAAGGUCCCCCACAUUGGAACUGAGACACGGUCCAAACUCCUACGGGAGGCAGCAGUGAGGAAUAUUGGUCAAUGGGCGAGAGCCUGAACCAGCCAAGUAGCGUGAAGGAUGACUGCCCUAUGGGUUGUAAACUUCUUUUAUAAAGGAAUAAAGUCGGGUAUGCAUACCCGUUUGCAUGUACUUUAUGAAUAAGGAUCGGCUAACUCCGUGCCAGCAGCCGCGGUAAUACGGAGGAUCCGAGCGUUAUCCGGAUUUAUUGGGUUUAAAGGGAGCGUAGAUGGAUGUUUAAGUCAGUUGUGAAAGUUUGCGGCUCAACCGUAAAAUUGCAGUUGAUACUGGAUAUCUUGAGUGCAGUUGAGGCAGGCGGAAUUCGUGGUGUAGCGGUGAAAUGCUUAGAUAUCACGAAGAACUCCGAUUGCGAAGGCAGCCUGCUAAGCUGCAACUGACAUUGAGGCUCGAAAGUGUGGGUAUCAAACAGGAUUAGAUACCCUGGUAGUCCACACGGUAAACGAUGAAUACUCGCUGUUUGCGAUAUACAGCAAGCGGCCAAGCGAAAGCGUUAAGUAUUCCACCUGGGGAGUACGCCGGCAACGGUGAAACUCAAAGGAAUUGACGGGGGCCCGCACAAGCGGAGGAACAUGUGGUUUAAUUCGAUGAUACGCGAGGAACCUUACCCGGGCUUAAAUUGCAGAUGAAUUACGGUGAAAGCCGUAAGCCGCAAGGCAUCUGUGAAGGUGCUGCAUGGUUGUCGUCAGCUCGUGCCGUGAGGUGUCGGCUUAAGUGCCAUAACGAGCGCAACCCUUGUUGUCAGUUACUAACAGGUUCCGCUGAGGACUCUGACAAGACUGCCAUCGUAAGAUGUGAGGAAGGUGGGGAUGACGUCAAAUCAGCACGGCCCUUACGUCCGGGGCUACACACGUGUUACAAUGGGGGGUACAGAGGGCCGCUACCACGCGAGUGGAUGCCAAUCCCAAAAACCUCUCUCAGUUCGGACUGGAGUCUGCAACCCGACUCCACGAAGCUGGAUUCGCUAGUAAUCGCGCAUCAGCCACGGCGCGGUGAAUACGUUCCCGGGCCUUGUACACACCGCCCGUCAAGCCAUGGGAGCCGGGGGUACCUGAAGUGCGUAACCGCGAGGAGCGCCCUAGGGUAAAACUGGUGACUGGGGCUAAG